GCCAGCAAAAAAGAGGCGUCCGUUUCAAUAACCUACCUUCCUUAUUCCAGAAUCUCUCUCACCCGCAAUUGAAACCAAUGAUAUCAGUUUCCCCUCCUCCAUUGCUAAAGAACUGCUUUUUUUUUUUUUUUCCUAUCUCGUAAUUGUGACAGUGCAAAAUUAGCAUAGAAACAAUAUACUAAGUUGAAUCUACAAUAGAGUACAAGCACUAAAAAGAAAUUGGUAAUCCCUUUUCUCUCCCCCUACUGCUUUUUAUUCUCCUAAUUUAUCCUUUUCCCUUUUCCAUUUGAGAGUUUCACUUAAUUAUCCUUUUUUGCUCCCAUUGUUCCAGUUAUGCAACUUUGUUAAUAUUUUAGCUUUAUAAAGCACUGAAGGAGUGCUUGAAGCGUCCUUUCCAGGUUUUAACAAACGCUCUCUACGAUCAAGUCUGGGUUUUCUCCUUCAACAAUUGUGACCAAAGCUUUGUAACAGAGAUGUGGAGAAGUGCAGAAUAAGGGCUUAAAAGGUCACUCUAGAAACUUCCAAUGGUUCAUUUAUCUUGAGAUCUUCAAUGAAAUGCGUCAGAGUUGCCGGGAACAAGUAGCUGCUAAAGAUUUCAGCCCCAAAAAUCUGUGUUGGUAAUCGCAUUCUAUCAAAUUUAAUUUUCUAUACACAAAUGGGCUACUUGGAAUCCCUUUCUAACUCUCUUCUUGCUUCAGAAUUUUAUAUGGAAAAAAGGCGAACACAUAGAUUGCAGAUUUGCAGAGAUAUUCUAUAUGCCCUUCAAUUUUUUUCCUUUUCCAGAUAAAUUACUGCUGCUCAUGUUGCCAAAAUAAAAGAACGAACUUUGGAGAUGAAAGGACAAAAUAAUCAAUGACUCUGAAGGCAAAGAACAGGAGAGAAAAACAUGUUCCAUUUGUUGAAAUGAUGACAAGCAAG
Nicotiana tabacum (common tobacco) is the source of this 918-nucleotide non-coding RNA. NCBI's taxonomy places the organism in Eukaryota, Viridiplantae, Streptophyta, Magnoliopsida, Solanales, Solanaceae. The record is from RefSeq and is a predicted model, not a curated record.